This 253-nucleotide ribosomal RNA is filed under the name uncultured bacterium. RNAcentral's name for it is "partial 16S ribosomal RNA". It matches the Rfam family "Bacterial small subunit ribosomal RNA", at positions 524 to 776 of the family's 1533-position model. The record is from RNAcentral.
UACGUAGGGUGCGAGCGUUGUCCGGAAUUAUUGGGCGUAAAGAGCUCGUAGGCGGCCUGUCGCGUCGGAUGUGAAAGCCCGGGGCUUAACCCCGGGUCUGCAUUCGAUACGGGCGGGCUAGAGUGUGGUAGGGGAGAUCGGAAUUCCUGGUGUAGCGGUGAAAUGCGCAGAUAUCGGGAGGAACACCGGUGGCGAAGGCGGUUCUCUGGGCCUUACCUGGCGCUGAGGGGCGAAAGCGUGGGGAGCGAACAGG